UACGUAGGGGGCAAGCGUUGUCCGGAAUCAUUGGGCGUAAAGAGCGUGUAGGCGGCCCGGUAAGUCCGCUGUGAAAGUCCAGGGCUCAACCCUGGGAUGCCGGUGGAUACUGUCGGGCUCGAGUCCGGAAGAGGAGUGUGGAAUUCCUGGUGUAGCGGUGAAAUGCGCAGAUAUCGGGAGGAACACCAAUGGCGAAGGCAGCACUCUGGGACGUGACUGACGCUGAGACGCGAAAGCGUGGGGAGCAAACAGG
Molecule: ribosomal RNA, 253 nt
Filed under: uncultured bacterium
Lineage: Bacteria
Description: partial 16S ribosomal RNA
Rfam family: Bacterial small subunit ribosomal RNA
Source: RNAcentral